Molecule: long non-coding RNA, 480 nt
Organism: Melospiza melodia melodia
Lineage: Eukaryota; Metazoa; Chordata; Aves; Passeriformes; Passerellidae
Exons: 3
Source: RefSeq, a predicted model, not a curated record
GUUCUCAGUGCGAUCUCUAUCAAGUGCUAUGAGUCUUGAUAAAAUGGAGAAGAGCCCAAGAGAAAUUUUUCAUCCCUUGAUAUAAAAGGAUUUAUUGGUUCUGGAAGAACAAGAGGGAAGUACAAGCCUAACUACUUCUAGCUCACAGACCCGUCCAGUGAACCCAGCUUUGUGUUUUGGUGGGCUUGUGAUGACUUUGAAAUCAAUUGCUCAUUCCAGUAAAAAAAAUUCAUGUUUUUUUGAACGUGACAGCAGAAAUAACUUUAGGCACCAACUGAAUAAUAAUAGAUCACCAGUUUAAGUUAAAAAUUCAUGCUAUACUAUCAAAAUUUAAAGGUAAAUUAUUAUGUAUUAGGUGAUGGUAUAAAGUGUAUGUUCUAAUGUGUAAUGCAAAGAUACAUACAUACCUGAAAGUCCUUAGAGGAAACAAAUUUUUAUGUCUGCUGUUUGAUUGUUUACCAUACGAUAUUUGCCUUUAUU